This 568-nucleotide ribosomal RNA is filed under the name Alternaria arborescens. Its description in RNAcentral is "eukaryotic LSU rRNA". The stretch from base 214 to 367 matches the Rfam family "5.8S ribosomal RNA". The record is from RNAcentral. Lineage: Eukaryota; Fungi; Ascomycota; Dothideomycetes; Pleosporales; Pleosporaceae.
AAAAGUCGUAACAAGGUCUCCGUAGGUGAACCUGCGGAGGGAUCAUUACACAAAUAUGAAGGCGGGCUGGAACCUCUCGGGGUUACAGCCUUGCUGAAUUAUUCACCCUUGUCUUUUGCGUACUUCUUGUUUCCUUGGUGGGUUCGCCCACCACUAGGACAAACAUAAACCUUUUGUAAUUGCAAUCAGCGUCAGUAACAAAUUAAUAAUUACAACUUUCAACAACGGAUCUCUUGGUUCUGGCAUCGAUGAAGAACGCAGCGAAAUGCGAUAAGUAGUGUGAAUUGCAGAAUUCAGUGAAUCAUCGAAUCUUUGAACGCACAUUGCGCCCUUUGGUAUUCCAAAGGGCAUGCCUGUUCGAGCGUCAUUUGUACCCUCAAGCUUUGCUUGGUGUUGGGCGUCUUGUCUCUAGCUUUGCUGGAGACUCGCCUUAAAGUAAUUGGCAGCCGGCCUACUGGUUUCGGAGCGCAGCACAAGUCGCACUCUCUAUCAGCAAAGGUCUAGCAUCCAUUAAGCCUUUUUUCAACUUUUGACCUCGGAUCAGGUAGGGAUACCCGCUGAACUUAAG